Molecule: long non-coding RNA, 851 nt
Filed under: Hordeum vulgare
Lineage: Eukaryota; Viridiplantae; Streptophyta; Magnoliopsida; Poales; Poaceae
Description: long non-coding RNA (HVUL_LNC014217)
Source: RNAcentral
GGUUACUCUACCCAUUACUCUAAGUUACACAUACCUAUCUGCACAUUCAGAUUCAUGUCAAUUAACACAAGGACACUAGGUGCUGGAGUACCAUGCCAUCAAGAUAGGAAUGAGAUGUAUCAGGAUGCUUAGACUCAGUGUGUUGCAAAUAAUAAUUGCUUUUAAGGUUUUAGAAUGUUGUUACAGAUCCAAAUCCCGGAUCUAUAAUGGUCAGGAGCAAAGCCAUAGAAAGCUUCGCUGCAGUACACCAUGCAUUUGUUGUAGCAUGUGCGUCAGGUCCAACUAAUUGUAGUGCACGGGCCCAUAAAAUUGACUAAGGCAAAGCCAACGUGAGAACCUAGCGGGAUGUGGCCUUUGAGUCAACAAUGCCCAUUAGGCACCUACGCUUAGAUUUUAAUGGGAGGCUACGAGUGGAGGAGGCAAGAUUUUAGUUGCGGCUGUAGCCUACCUUUCUCCUCUCCAUGCUAAAAAAUAGAGAAAAAAGGAGCACUACUGGCUUGUGCAACUAUGAAAAAGAUCUGGCACCAAGAUGAUUAUUGGAGCACUGCUUCAGGGUACGGGGAGAAAACUCUAGUCAUGGACAUUAUUUGCUAGGAUCAGCAGCGAUGAACUUACAUUGUUUCCUUGUUGAAGGUGUUGUCACCUUGUUGUUGUGUAGGCCGACAUUGGUUGUUCUCGGCAACCAGGGUGAAAAUCCUAGUGCAGACCCUUUCGGCCUAACAUGGCAGUGACAAUGCUAGGACAUUUAUUCCUUCUUCGAGACAUUGUUGCGGAAGAAGUUGACUUUGGUAUUGGUGUUAAUUUCAUUUACUGUAAUGCUUUGCCCAUGGUUGCUUUUGUUUUGUACUCUG